This 300-nucleotide ribosomal RNA is filed under the name uncultured Bacillus sp. RNAcentral describes it as "partial 16S ribosomal RNA". The stretch from base 53 to 300 matches the Rfam family "Bacterial small subunit ribosomal RNA", at positions 547 to 795 of the family's 1533-position model. Lineage: Bacteria; Bacillati; Bacillota; Bacilli; Caryophanales; Bacillaceae. The record is from RNAcentral.
GGUGAGCGACAGUGGAGCAGGAGCGGUAAGGAGGGGUGGGCAGGCGUGUGCCGGAGUUAUUGAGCGGGAAGAGCGGGUAGGGCGCCAGGGAGGUCGUGUGGGAAAACUCGAGGGCUAACCUCGGGAAGGCGGUGGAAACCGCCUGGCUAGAGUACGGAAGAGGAGAGUGGAAUUCCCGGUGUAGCGGUGAAAUGCGCAGAUAUCGGGAAGAACACCCGUGGCGAAGGCGGCUCUCUGGGACGGUACUGACGCUGAGACGCGAAAGCGUGGGGAGCGAACAGGAUUAGAACCCGUGUAGUC